UACGUAGGGUGCGAGCGUUGUCCGGAAUUAUUGGGCGUAAAGAGCUUGUAGGCGGUUGUCGCGUCUGCCGUGAAAUUUCGAGGCUCAACCUCGAACUUGCGGUGGGUACGGGCAGACUAGAGUGUGGUAGGGGAGACUGGAAUUCCUGGUGUAGCGGUGAAAUGCGCAGAUAUCAGGAGGAACACCGGAUGGCGAAGGCAGGUCUCCUGGGCCACUACUGACGCUGAGAAGCGAAAGCAUGGGGAGCGAACAGGAUAGA
RNAcentral lists this ribosomal RNA (259 nucleotides) under uncultured bacterium. RNAcentral describes it as "partial 16S ribosomal RNA". It matches the Rfam family "Bacterial small subunit ribosomal RNA", at positions 524 to 782 of the family's 1533-position model. The record is from RNAcentral.